This 440-nucleotide ribosomal RNA is filed under the name uncultured bacterium. Its description in RNAcentral is "partial 16S ribosomal RNA". It matches the Rfam family "Bacterial small subunit ribosomal RNA", at positions 338 to 795 of the family's 1533-position model. The record is from RNAcentral.
CCUACGGGUGACUGCAGUAGGGAAUAUUGCUCAAUGGGGGAAACCCUGACGCAGCAACGCCGCGUGGGGGAUGAAGGUUUUCGGAUUGUAAACUCCUUUUGUUAGAGAAGAUAAUGACGGUAUCUAACGAAUCAGCACCGGCUAACUCCGUACCAGCAGCCGCGGGAAAACGGAGGGUGCAAGCGUUACUCGGAAUAACUGGGGGAAAAGGGCGCGUAGGCGGGAUAGCAAGUCUGAUGUGAAAGCCUAUGGCUUAACCAGAGAACGGCAUUUGAAACUGUUAGUCUAGAGUAUGGGAGAGGUAGGUGGAAUUCUUGGUGUAGGGGUAAAAUCCGUAGAGAUCAAGAGGAAUACUCAUGGCGAAGGCGACCUGCUAGAACAUAACUGACGCUGAUGCGCGAAAGCGUGGGGAGCAAACAGGAUUAGAUACCCGAGUAGUC